UACGAAGGGGGCUAGCGUUGUUCGGAAUUACUGGGCGUAAAGCGCACGUAGGCGGAUUGUUAAGUCAGAGGUGAAAUCCCGGAGCUCAACUUCGGAACUGCCUUUGAUACUGGCAAUCUCGAGUCCGGAAGAGGUUAGUGGAAUUCCCAGUGUAGGGGUGAAAUUCGUAGAUAUUGGGAAGAACACCAGUGGCGAAGGCGGCUAACUGGUCCGGUACUGACGCUGAGGUGCGAAAGCGUGGGGAGCAAACAGG
RNAcentral lists this ribosomal RNA (253 nucleotides) under uncultured bacterium. RNAcentral's name for it is "partial 16S ribosomal RNA". It matches the Rfam family "Bacterial small subunit ribosomal RNA", at positions 524 to 776 of the family's 1533-position model. The record is from RNAcentral.